UAUCAUUCCACAUCCAAUUUUAUUUCUAUCCAUUUCUUUUAAAAAACAGUAUUUACAGGACUUCCCUGGAGGUCCAGUGGUUAAGACUCCACACUUCCAAUGCAGGGGGUGUGGGUUCGAUCCCUGGUUGGGGAGCUAAGAUCCCACAUGCCUCGCGGCCAAAAAACCAAAACAUAAAAUAGUAGCAAUAGUGUAACAAAUUCAAUACUUAAAAAAAAAUGGUCCACAUCAAAAAAUAAAUAAAAAUAAUAUUUCUGUGCACUUUUGAUUCUGUUACUAGUAACUAUAAUACCUAAUUGGCUAUAGAUGACCUCAUUAACUGUUCUUUCCAGGUCACUAUGAAAGACAGCGAGAUGCCCAGACAUCUUUGAACUUGAUGUAUACAUGCAUUAAAAACUCUCCAGAGGUUGCCCUGCUUGGCAGUUUGUGCAGCAGCCCUGCUCCUGCCCUCCAGGACUGGCUGGAAAGAGAAAGACAAGACAUCCCAGACUCCAUCUUCUUGGCCAGCAUUUCUAUUGAUGUUAUAUUAGUUUCAGC
Kogia breviceps (pygmy sperm whale) is the source of this 537-nucleotide non-coding RNA. Lineage: Eukaryota; Metazoa; Chordata; Mammalia; Artiodactyla; Physeteridae. The record is from RefSeq and is a predicted model, not a curated record.